GGGAAUGUGGCUUAGUGGUACAGUGCUUGCCUAGCAUGCAUGAAGUUCUGGGUUCAAAUCCUCAGUACCA
RNAcentral lists this transfer RNA (70 nucleotides) under Dipodomys ordii (Ord's kangaroo rat). It matches the Rfam family "tRNA". From Rfam's summary of the family: Transfer RNA (tRNA) molecules are approximately 80 nucleotides in length. Their secondary structure includes four short double-helical elements and three loops (D, anti-codon, and T loops). Lineage: Eukaryota; Metazoa; Chordata; Mammalia; Rodentia; Heteromyidae. The record is from Rfam by way of RNAcentral.